RNAcentral lists this long non-coding RNA (492 nucleotides) under Homo sapiens (human). Its description in RNAcentral is "non-protein coding lnc-TUBGCP3-7:1". The record is from RNAcentral. Lineage: Eukaryota; Metazoa; Chordata; Mammalia; Primates; Hominidae.
GUCAACCCCAGAGCACUGGCCACUUUGGGAAAAUGGACAUCUCCUCUCCUCUGGCUGAAGGAAAGUAAGAAGACACGGUGUUGCCCCAGGCUAUGUAGCCCACAACAAUUUUCCAUCCAAAUGCAUGAGCCCGGGUUCCCGAUGAAGACUUGGCUUCUCCUGAGCCCGGGGGUCCUGGCUGCUCUGGUGCCAACCCCUGGGUGUCUUUGAGCUGCAGAGGGCUUGCCACGUGCAUCCUCCUCCCUCUGCCUGAGCCACGAAGACCAGGCUGGACUAUGUUCCACAAAGACUUUUUCCCCUCAGGGGUCUCCUCCCAACAACACUUAACCAAGCUUUGUAUUCAACAAGGAACACAUUCCGCCUCCACCAAACCUCAUUGAAAACAGAGAGGUGCAUGGAUAACCAUGGCCAAAUCAUAACUGGUAUGCAUGCUCAUGGUUUUCUUUGAAAAUCUAACUGUCCUUUAAAAAUCUUUCCCACAUGAAGAGCCAC